This is a long non-coding RNA of Triticum aestivum (bread wheat), 3189 nucleotides long. RefSeq lists it as uncharacterized. The record is from RefSeq and is a predicted model, not a curated record. Lineage: Eukaryota; Viridiplantae; Streptophyta; Magnoliopsida; Poales; Poaceae. The transcript has 3 exons.
AUCCACAACGCGCCGUGCCCAGACGAGAGCCGAGCCAUCAGGGCCGCCGCGCCCAGCCGAGCCGUCGGGGCCGCUGGCGCGCCGCCCGGUCCGCCGUCGCCACCAUCCCUCCUCCACGCACUGCCGCCUCCGCCGAGUAAGAGGUGCCCCGCGAAGGGGAAGUCCCUCCAGGGACGGCGCAGUCGGCGAGCGCCGCGUAGGCAUCGGUGAGGACAUGGGCGAGGGAGGUGGCCCUGUUGUGCGCGGCGGGGAGGCAGAUGCCGACCGCAUGUCUCCUCUCUGAAGGGGUGUGCCUGCAUCCAAUGGUGAGGGACCCUAGCUCCACACCCUUUUGUCGUUGAUGAAUGAAACCUGCAGUUUCUGUAGGUGAAGGUUCUGAAGUUCUUCCCCACGCGGUCCCAUACUGUCGCAGCACAGGUAAUUGACUGCCUGCUUUUCUAAUGCCUGUGUUUUCAGUAGACUGCUGGUGUAUCCUGUCAUUCUGUGUAUGUUGCAAACGGGAAACUAGAAGAUUUAUUGAUGGGAUUGCCCGCUUACCUUCAUGGGGGCUUCAGUUGGAUUGCUGAUGUUGCCACUAGAUUUAUUUGUGCAAAGAAAUCUGGAACACAGAAGAUGGCAAUUGCAUGUUGUGCACGGACUAAUUGGCUGGUCAUUCUGGGGGUAUAUGCUACUGUUUUUAAGGUACACUCAGUGUUCUACUGUUUUUAAGGUACACUCAGUGUUUAUUAGCAUCGAGUUACAUGGUAGACAUGACAGGAGAAAUAAAUUGAUAUUUUCGAUAAAGAAACGAGAAAUAAAUUGAUAGGAACUCUCUGUGUGUCCUCUCCAGAUUAGGAGGACACGGAGAGACACAGAAUCGAGAAAUGAGUCCUCUCCAGAUAGAUUAACAGUAUUGUUAGGCUGGAUAGCUCUGAACCCCAUUCCAGGGUCACUAUGGUUGGUGAUAGUGAUUUCAAGAUCAUCAAAGUCUAUCGUACAAUAUCUCUAUUUGUUAUUCAACUUAGCAAAUUUUCAUCUUCAUUUAGAUAUUACUUAUCCAUCUUACAACUUCAUGGCAUGUUUGCUUUAAGAUGUCUUGCAGGUGCUAUGUUUAUUUUUGUAGAAGUUUUUCUCUCCUGGAUUUUGCAUCAUUUAUUCCCAGGAUGAUUGUUUUCAUGACUAUCAAGAAAUCAGAUCGAGGCUAUAUUCAGUUCAUGAACUGCUGAAACAAAUACAUCCCAGGUUAAUGGCCUUCUUUCUCGCAUGAAGGACGGGAUGAUAGCUACCCGGAAGCGCAAGAUAUUGUUCAUGAAUUCGACAGUGAUUUAGUGAAAUUGUGAAAUCCCUCCUUCUGCUCCUCCCAAUCUUUCAAAUUGAUUUGUUUGAUCUUCUCUUCAUUCUGAUUAAAAUUUCUUAUCGUUCUCCUAAUGGUCCAGCCAAUUAAGAAGAGAAGAUAGGGAGGAGAAAAAUGUAUGACACAAGAAGAGAUGCCUUUAGAAGCAGCCUAAACAGGGAUGACUUAUAUCUCCUUCUACCCUUACAUAUAUUUAGAAUGUACUGGUAAGAGAGGAGGAAGUGAAGAAAAAGGUUGCUGUUCAGAAAGACGCUUAUGAGGAUCCUACAGUUUGAUUUUACUCUAGAGAUGGCAAUUGCUCUAUCCCUAAAUAGUGGAGUUAGCAGCUACUUUUUACAUUUGCAUAUCCAUUAUAUGGGUCUGCAUCAUACAUGUGCAGAUAAAUAAUUAUCAGCCUGGUAGAGGAGAGGAAUUAUAUCUUGAAUUCAUUGAUGCCACAUCAUUUUGGUCCGUACUUUGUACAACUUGACUGUACAAUCAUGAUGCUUUGUUCACAACCUAUAUAAAAUAUUGUAUUAGUAACUUCAAAAUUAAUUUUGCAUAGCUUUUUGCUUAUGCCAAGAAAAUCGACAGAAUAUUUAUAGCACUCUGGGGGCAAAAUGUUAAGUUUCUAGGCAUGAUUUUUAUAUGCUAGAAUAUGUCUUUGACCUAUGGAAAAAAAGGGGUUCAUUAUUUGUUUUCAAGAGCUUAGGUGCAAGUAAGCAGCCCUACAUUCAACCAUAUUUCUUACUCUUCUAUCCAUGAAGUGUUUUCAAAUACUGUCUUUUUCUCUUGACAGAUGCCAUCCGAGGAAAAAACUCUUGACACGGCAUUGUGGUAAUCUCUGUUCUGUUGUAAACAUGUUUUUACUACCAUGUAUCAUCAAGCAUUUAAAACUUUAUUAAGAGAACAUGGCAUUCUAUAUAUGCUCUAGGUAAAGUUGCGUUGGAUACACAAUUCUUGUUUUUUUGUAUUUGGGCAAGCAUUCAUGUAUGUGAAAAUAAAUAUCUUUCCUGUAUGGUUUUAUAUCUCGGCAGAAUAUUACUGGUUUUGCUACCACAACAUGCAAAAUAUGGUGUGGGUGAGAGGCCAAGGUAAAUCUUUUCCUACUCCACAUCUGAAAUAUUUCCAAAUAUCACCCUCAAAGGAAAACUUUUCUUGCUCUUGGCUCAUUGACUGAAUAAACAAAGCAUCACAAUAUGUAGUUCAAUGAUAUUUAGGUACUGGUAAUUAUUUGUUGGCAUAUUGUUUGUCUGCAUAUGUCAUCUAUGAGCCCAUUAUUGACUUUUCUAAAUGUUGAGACCAUUUUUUUGUGGAGUUUGAUGCUCUUGCAGUUAUCUAGCCUCACAUGAUUUGACUGUUUGGCGGUAUUUAGGUUGAUACUUUGCUUUCAGAUUUGUUAGCAAGAAAUGCAUUCCUAUUUGUUUUUCUGGCCGUUAGAGAGAACAACAUACAAGUGUACUCCAGUUGCUUCUGUUUGUAAAACAACUAGAAUGUAAUUAAGCACGAUGCAGUACUAGCAUAUGAAAGACUUAAUAAAUGGCAUCCCACUUUUUUGUAACAUAUAUAUGCCCUGUUCGGAUAUCCACCAGAUCCGUGGAAUUAGAGGAUUUGCGGAGCACCUACUUUCAGCCUACAACUCCGCCGGCUCCGCGAGCCGAGUCUGGGAGCGGAGGGACACCGAACACUCCCAUAUUACCGUCUCUAUGCAGCAACAUGACGACAAUGGCAUCCCACUUUUGAAAAUACAACUUGAGCAACACCGCAUACAUUGUGUAUCUAUUUAAUUCAUAUACUUGGGAUUGUUUUAUUUUAUAUUAAACUAAAAUGUAGCACAUUUGGUCAACAUUUGAGAUGUGCAUUAUUUGAUUCAUAUA